This 468-nucleotide ribosomal RNA is filed under the name uncultured bacterium. Its description in RNAcentral is "partial 16S ribosomal RNA". It matches the Rfam family "Bacterial small subunit ribosomal RNA", at positions 28 to 507 of the family's 1533-position model. The record is from RNAcentral.
GACGAACGCUGGCGGCGUGCCUAACACAUGCAAGUCGAACGGAAAGGCCCUGCUUUUGUGGGGUGCUCGAGUGGCGAACGGGUGAGUAACACGUGAGUAACCUGCACUUGACUUUGGGAUAACUUCAGGAAACUCGGGCUAAUACCGGAUAGGAGCUCCUGCUGCAUGGUGGGGGUUGGAAAGUUUCGGCGGUUGGGGAUGGACUCGCGGCUUAUCAGCUUGUUGGUGAGGUAGUGGCUUACCAAGGCUUUGACGGGUAGCCGGCCUGAGAGGUUGACCGGGGACAAUGGGCCUGAGGGAGGGACCAGACUGCAACGUGCGGCAGCAGUGGGGAAUAUUGCGGAGUAGGCGGACGUCUGAUGCAGCAACGCUGCGUGCGGGAUGACGGCUUUCUGGGGAUGAACCGCUUUGGCCUGUGACGAAGCGUGAGUGACGGUAAUGGGUAAAGAAGCACCGGCUAACUACGUG